AGAGAAGGCAAAAGAAUGUUUUGAAGAGGGGGAUUGCCAUCACCAAUAAGACUGAGAUUGGAUUGCUAUAUCUAACAAAAGAUGCAGAUAUUUUAUAUACAGUAGAAGGAGAAGAUAUAGGUGGUCAUCUAGUGAUUUUCUUGAACCUGAUUGGGACUUAAAAACGGGGCCUAUAUAUGAGGAUUUGCAAAUUGACCAAGAGCAGCCGGCAAACAUUAAACAUGCAGUGACCUUACAAGUAACGAAGAAGUGGAGAAAAUUUUUCAUUGGACAGAUGGGUGUGAAGAAAGCCCUGGGAUAUUAAUUGAAUUGCGAGAAAUGAAUCAGGAAUGCAGGUAGAAAGUGGCAAAGACCAAUACCAUAAGAUGUUCCUAUCAAAGAUUUAAAAUUGUAGCUGUUAUUAAUACAAAUAUUGUAAAGUAUGUGUAAUGUACUAUUAUCACUAAUCAAGAUUGAUAUAGAGUCUAAAUAUUCUUAGUAAAUGUUCUAUAUUACUGUGUUCCAAUACCUAAUUGUGUUGUACUUUUUACUACCACUUGAAUAGAUUUCUUUUUUAUUUAUUA
This is a long non-coding RNA of Saccostrea cuccullata (small rock oyster), 563 nucleotides long. RefSeq lists it as uncharacterized. The transcript is spliced from 3 exons. The record is from RefSeq and is a predicted model, not a curated record. NCBI's taxonomy places the organism in Eukaryota, Metazoa, Mollusca, Bivalvia, Ostreida, Ostreidae.